AGAGUUUGAUCCUGGCUCAGAUUGAACGCUGGCGGCAUGGCUAAAACAUGCAAGUCGUACGUGCCCUUCGGGGCAAGUGGCGAAAGGGCGAGUAACGCGAUCGAACGUAUCCCGAGGUGGGGGAUAGCCAGGGGAAACCCUGGGUAAUACCCCAUGUCCUCUCCGGAGAAAAGGUUUACCGCCUUGGGAGCGGCGAUCGUCCUAUCAGGUAGUUGGUGAGGUAACGGCUCACCAAGCCGAAGACGGGUAGCGGGCGUGAGAGCGUGGCCCGCCGCAUCGGGACUGAGACACUGCCCGGACUCCUACGGGAGGCUGCAGUAACGAAUCUUCCGCAAUGGGCGAAAGCCUGACGGAGCAAUGCCGCGUGUGGGAUGAAGCAGUUACGCUGUGUAAACCACUGUCAGGUCCUAGAAACACUGAUCGGGACCAGAGGAAGGGCCGGCUAAACUCGUGCCAGCAGCCGCGGUAAUAC
Molecule: ribosomal RNA, 472 nt
Filed under: uncultured bacterium
Lineage: Bacteria
Description: bacterial SSU rRNA
Rfam family: Bacterial small subunit ribosomal RNA
Source: RNAcentral